This 76-nucleotide transfer RNA is filed under the name Succinivibrionaceae bacterium. Its description in RNAcentral is "tRNA-His". It matches the Rfam family "tRNA". From Rfam's summary of the family: Transfer RNA (tRNA) molecules are approximately 80 nucleotides in length. Their secondary structure includes four short double-helical elements and three loops (D, anti-codon, and T loops). RNAcentral also lists the same sequence under 1 other name. Lineage: Bacteria; Pseudomonadati; Pseudomonadota; Gammaproteobacteria; Aeromonadales; Succinivibrionaceae. The record is from RNAcentral.
GUGAGAGUAGUUCAGUUGGUAGAGCCCCGGAUUGUGAUUCCGGUUGUCGUGGGUUCGAGUCCCAUCUCUCACCCCA